This 253-nucleotide ribosomal RNA is filed under the name uncultured bacterium. Its description in RNAcentral is "partial 16S ribosomal RNA". It matches the Rfam family "Bacterial small subunit ribosomal RNA", at positions 524 to 776 of the family's 1533-position model. The record is from RNAcentral.
UACGUAGGGCGCGAGCGUUGUCCGGAAUUAUUGGGCGUAAAGAGCUCGUAGGCGGCCUGUUACGUCUGCUGUGAAAUCCCGGGGCUUAACCCCGGGCGUGCAGUGGAUACGGGCAGGCUGGAGGCAGGCAGGGGAGAACGGAAUUCCCGGUGUAGCGGUGAAAUGCGCAGAUAUCAGGAGGAACACCGGUGGCGAAGGCGGAUCUCUGGGCCAUUACUGACGCUGAGGAGCGAAAGCGUGGGGAGCGAACAGG